This 253-nucleotide ribosomal RNA is filed under the name uncultured bacterium. Its description in RNAcentral is "partial 16S ribosomal RNA". It matches the Rfam family "Bacterial small subunit ribosomal RNA", at positions 524 to 776 of the family's 1533-position model. The record is from RNAcentral.
UACAGAGGUCCCGAGCGUUGUUCGGAUUCAUUGGGCGUAAAGGGUGCGUAGGCGGCUUCCUAAGUUUGAUGUGAAAUCCUGGGGCUCAACCCUGGAACUGCAUUGAAUACUGGGAGGCUAGAGUACUGCAGAGGAGACUGGAAUUCCCGGUGUAGCGGUGAAAUGUGUAGAGAUCGGGAGGAACACCGGUGGCGAAGGCGGGUCUCUGGGCAAUUCCUGACGCUGAGGCGCGAAAGCGUGGGGAGCAAACGGG